CUCCAGACUCCUACGGGAGGCAGCAGUGGGGAAUAUUGCACAAUGGGGGAAACCCUGAUGCAGCGACGCCGCGUGAGCGAUGAAGUAUUUCGGUAUGUAAAGCUCUAUCAGCAGGGAAGAAGAUGACGGUACCUGACUAAGAAGCCCCGGCUAACUACGUGCCAGCAGCCGCGGUAAUACGUAGGGGGCAAGCGUUAUCCGGAUUUACUGGGUGUAAAGGGAGCGUAGACGGCGAUGCAAGCCAGAUGUGAAAGCCCGGGGCUCAACCCCGGGACUGCAUUUGGAACUGUGUGGCUGGAGUGUCGGAGAGGCAGGCGGAAUUCCUAGUGUAGCGGUGAAAUGCGUAGAUAUUAGGAGGAGCACCAGUGGCGAAGGCGGCCUGCUGGACGAUGACUGACGUUGAGGCUCGAAAGCGUGGGGAGCAAACAGGAUUAGAUACCCGUGUA
Molecule: ribosomal RNA, 446 nt
Filed under: uncultured bacterium
Lineage: Bacteria
Description: bacterial SSU rRNA
Rfam family: Bacterial small subunit ribosomal RNA
Source: RNAcentral